GUCUGCAUUGGAGAUCUCAGGUACUAAGCAAGGAUUGGUCAGUUUUGAGUCAGAAUAAUAUUGUGUGUCAAGGAAAAACAAACUGAUGUCUGCAUUGGAGUGAACUCAGGUACUAAGCAAGGAUUGGUCCGUUUUGAGUCAGAAUAAUAAUGUGCCAAGGAAAAAAACAAACUGAUGUCUGCAUUGGAGUGAACUCAGGUACUAAGCAAGGAUUGGUCGGUUUUGAGUCAGAAUAAUAAUGUGUGUCAAGGAAAAACAAACUGAUGUCUGCAUUGGAGUGAACUCAGGUACUAAGCAAGGAUUGGUCCGUUUUGAGUCAUAAUAAUAAUGUGUGUCAAGGAAAAACAAACUGAUGUCUGCAUUGGAGUGAACUCAUGUACUAAGCAAGGAUUGGUCCGUUUUGAGUCAGAAUAAUAAUGUGUGCCAAGGAAAAACAAACUGAUGUCUGCA
Long non-coding RNA from Mytilus californianus (California mussel), 450 nucleotides. RefSeq lists it as uncharacterized. The transcript has 3 exons. NCBI's taxonomy places the organism in Eukaryota, Metazoa, Mollusca, Bivalvia, Mytilida, Mytilidae. The record is from RefSeq and is a predicted model, not a curated record.